Armigeres subalbatus is the source of this 872-nucleotide long non-coding RNA. RefSeq lists it as uncharacterized. The transcript is spliced from 3 exons. NCBI's taxonomy places the organism in Eukaryota, Metazoa, Arthropoda, Insecta, Diptera, Culicidae. The record is from RefSeq and is a predicted model, not a curated record.
UUUUUGAUAUAUUUCAACUUUAAGCUAUCAUUAGAUUAAAAUUUAUACUAGCUGAGGUUAAAAGAAAUUCUUUUAAUGAUUUGCAUAGUUUAAAUCUUGUCAUGUAUCAUUGUGGAUUGAAAACAAUCAUUUUGUGAAAACGUGAUUUGUUCUAGAUGGCAUCACGAAAAUAAAAUUUACUGCAAACUUCUUGUGUAAUUUCUCUAUAAAGGAACACUAAAAAGACGCCGGAUAGCUAUACCGGAAAAAAGAUGGCGAUCAACGGAAGCAAAUAUGUCUCAGAUUGUGUAUAUCUAUGGAGCAACCGAGGGAGCAACUCCAUGAACCAAACGUCCUCACGAAGCGGAAAAGAUCAUAGAUGCAUUUUAUGAUAUGUGCAGGCAAUAUUGUUCUGCAACAGUUUUUGAUAUCCCAAUCAUCCUACUGAGUUGGUUUUUAGACGAAAGAAUCCUAGAACGAUGUUGAGUAGUGCAAUUUCCGAAAGACGACCACUGAUGGAGUUAGAAGUACCCGGAGAAACCUACGGCGAUUGCUGCUUUGACUCCUGUGCUGGCUUGUGUACAAUUUUGAGGUGCGGUGCCAAAUGGUUUCCUAGCAGAGUUUACCCCUGCAGGAUAUUUACGGCUCAACUGGCCGAGCAACUGGCAAGCUUUAAAUCAUUCAUUUACAAUUGUAAUCAAAUUUAAAAAUAAAGUAUUUGUUUGGUGUGUUUGUAUGUGUUUUCGUUACGUCUUCAUUUACUUAACUAAAAAAAAAUGCUACAGCAGAAUCCACCUAAAGCAUGUGGAUUGCUUGAAAGUAUACUGUGUCAACAUAAUUCAAAGUUAUACUAAGCUCGUUUAUAUUGUAUUUAUACUAACACGGGGUCAACC